Non-coding RNA from Taeniopygia guttata (zebra finch), 1007 nucleotides. NCBI's taxonomy places the organism in Eukaryota, Metazoa, Chordata, Aves, Passeriformes, Estrildidae. The record is from RefSeq and is a predicted model, not a curated record.
GCACCCAGGGAGAAGGAGACCUUGUGCUAUCACUUAGCCCAACCGUGGGACUAAAUUUUGGCAGGGCCUUUUUACAAAAUGCUCCUAUGUGAAAUUUGUUUCCAGUGAGAACCAAACAUCUGGGAGAAUAUACAUUCCACAGCAGACUGGGAAUAGGAGCAGCCCUAGAGCAGCUGACUCUCAUCUGACUGAUGACAGAACCAAAGCGCUUCUUGAAAUGUCAGUAUUUUGCUGGAUGUCUCACAUCUAAAAAGUUUCUCAGCAGAAAAGGGACACGAACAACAGAGGAAAUGGGAAAAGGGGAGCUGUGACACCUGAAAAGUUCAUCUAUUAUAACACAAAGUGCAUUUUUGGCUUUUGGAAAAACAAUUUCUACUCUAUGUGGAUAAACAGACAACAGAAAAAAGGGCAGGGGAAGACAGAUGCUGCGUAUGCUUUCAGUCCACUGAGGGUAAGAAAGCAAUGCCAGCAUCAUCUGAGCCUGAAACUGUGACUGAAGAGAAAUACGACGCUUGUAACAUCUUCAAAAAGAGGACAUUUUUGCUUCCAUAGCCCAAGGGGAUCUCCAUCUUCCUGGCAGAGGUGUGCACAAAGCCAGUUUGUCAGCCCUAGAUGCAAAAAGUUACCAGUAAUGAGCCCAGAACACAGGUCACAGCCUGCCUGGGCUGUGGGCAGCAAAGGUGUUGGGCGUAAGCAGACCCCUGAGGGGCAGCUGCUUGGAGCUGGAUACCAACAAAAGCAUCUGAGCCCUGCAGGCUCAUGGGCUGGUUAAGGGAGAGAGGGUAGAGCUGAGGAUGGGCUGGGGUGUUCUGCAGCCUGCCAUGGGCUCCUGCUGCCUGGGAACUGAGCACUGCUGGUGGUCUUGGAGGUAUAACAUUGAUGUCGGGAGAAAUUAUUGACAGGUCAGAGCUUUGCGUGGAUGUCACAUGUAUAACAAGCAAGUUGUAUCUGCAGUAACCUGUUUCAUCAAUUUCUGCUUUACUAGAAAGUCAAUAAAAAUUGACAAU